ACGCCUCCGGCAACUCCUUUUCAUUUCGUCAAAUUCCGACAGCUCGUGGAAUCUACAACCACAAUUCAAUGUCAAGAUGUUUGAGCUGGUCUUACUGCAGAAAUUUCAGCUGUUACUAAUGGUCGUACACGAAGGGAGGGUGGGUAAUGAAGAAUGUUCAAAACUCAAAACUCAAUUUCUCUCUCUCUCUGCCUUUAAUUGUAUGAUGUGUGAGCUUUCUCGUGAAGUGGUGGGGGCCUGUGGAACAGCGACAGAGGCUCUGUGAUGGUAGGACCAAAGAGAAGAGGGUUUGGCGGGAGAAAGAGGAGAAGGGACUGUUUGUGAAGCGGAAAAUGAAUUGGGAAUUGGGAAUUGUGAGCCAAAGUUGAAAAUUUGGGGCAGUGACGCGGUACGUUUGGUGGUGACUUGUUGAGAGCGUAUGAUUUCAGUCACCGUCUUGUCCAUCGGAGCGUGCAGUUUUGAUCCUAUUUUUUCUUUUCGGUGCUUUUUACAGGAGUUGUGAGGGGGUGGGGCGCCGGGCUGGACGCCCCCAUGACUCCACCAACGUUGACGCGUGGGCGGACCUGACUUGGUUUUCAAGGGCGUCCCUUUAACUCCAACAACGUUGACGCGUGGGUGGACCCCUACUUGGUUUAAAGGAUAGCAUAGCCUAACGUAUCUCUCACUCAAGUGUCGCGUGAACUCGAUCUAAGUUCGAUUUAAAGUCAAUAUUUGGUUAGUUGUUUGUUCAUUGGAUAAUUCUCUUGAAGAGUGAAAUAAUAUCUUUGGACCAAACAAUGUGAAUGCAUUAUCAAUUUAGUCGGGUUUUUCAUUU
Molecule: long non-coding RNA, 814 nt
Organism: Cucurbita maxima (winter squash)
Lineage: Eukaryota; Viridiplantae; Streptophyta; Magnoliopsida; Cucurbitales; Cucurbitaceae
Exons: 2
Source: RefSeq, a predicted model, not a curated record